GAUGAACGCUGGCGGCGUGCCUAAUACAUGCAAGUCGAGCGAACAGACGAGGAGCUUGCUCCUCUGACGUUAGCGGCGGACGGGUGAGUAACACGUGGAUAACCUACCUAUAAGACUGGGAUAACUUCGGGAAACCGGAGCUAAUACCGGAUAAUAUAUUGAACCGUAUGGUUCAAUAGUGAAAGACGGCUUUGCUGUCACUUAUAGAUGGAUCCGCGCCGCAUUAGCUAGUUGGUAAGGUAACGGCUUACCAAGGCGACGAUGCGUAGCCGACCUGAGAGGGUGAUCGGCCACACUGGAACUGAGACACGGUCCAGACUCCUACGGGAGGCAGCAGUAGGGAAUCUUCCGCAAUGGGCGAAAGCCUGACGGAGCAACGCCGCGUGAGUGAUGAAGGUCUUCGGAUCGUAAAACUCUGUUAUUAGGGAAGAACAAAUGUGUAAGUAACUAUGCACGUCUUGACGGUACCUAAUCAGAAAGCCACGGCUAACUACGUG
RNAcentral lists this ribosomal RNA (497 nucleotides) under uncultured bacterium. RNAcentral's name for it is "partial 16S ribosomal RNA". It matches the Rfam family "Bacterial small subunit ribosomal RNA", at positions 28 to 507 of the family's 1533-position model. The record is from RNAcentral.